AUGUGCAGUAACGAACGGCGGAUCGACGGGCACCUAAUCAAAAUCGGCGGCGGGGCUUGCGUCGUCGUCGUCGUCCUCUUCGGCGGCGGCGGCGGCGGCGGCGGCGUGCGGGUUGCAGUCGUCGGAGUAGAAGUCGUUGCGCUCGAUGAGGGAGCGGAGGCCGGGGUCCUCCUUGCCGUUGGCGCUCGGGUUGGGCUCCAGCGAGCAGUCCCCUUCGGGGCACAGGCAGCACCACGCCGGCAACGCGGCGGUUCCCGCGCCAGAGCGCCCCUCCUCCUCGCCGCGGACGGCGUCGCCGCGGCCGUGAUCGUCAGGCCUCUCCCUCCGGCCCCUCCUCUCCUGGACCACCGAGACGUUGCCCCAGCAAGCGGGCGGGGGAGGCAGCCGGUCCCGAAUCGCCCUCACGACCUGCUCCCGCCGCUUGCUCUUGCGCCUCCCCUGCUUCUUGGCUCCCCCUUCCGCCGACGCGGCCGAGCCGGACGAGGACGGGUGGGACUGGCCCGGCCUCUGCCGCCGAAGCGCGCCCACGAGACCGGCGGCGGCAUCAGCGCCGCCUCUCUCUCCGUCGACCCCACCAUUGGCUCUCCCCUCCCGCAUACAUGCAACCGCCACCGCCAGGGCGGACACGCGGCAACAGCAACGGCGGCCACGGGAGCGCCCCAACCCGCCAAACCCGGCGUCUGGUGGCGGCGCGGCGCGGCGCGAUGCGAUUUUCGGCGCUGGUUUGGGGAUUGGGAAGGGGAGGGGGGAGGAGGGCGUGCACCUAAAAUUUCGGUUCCGUGUGGUGUGCUGUGGUGGUAUUAUUGCGGCCGCACAGCUUGCGCUUGCAUUUGCAUCAACGUUGUCGCCUUGGCUUGGCUUGGCUGGCUGGCUGGCUGGCUUGGAUGGACAGCUUUCUUGUUCCCAUCUCCCUUUCGUCACAGGUGUAAGUUAAGUUGA
RNAcentral lists this ribosomal RNA (939 nucleotides) under Triticum aestivum (bread wheat). RNAcentral describes it as "partial small subunit ribosomal RNA". Lineage: Eukaryota; Viridiplantae; Streptophyta; Magnoliopsida; Poales; Poaceae. The record is from RNAcentral.